ANUGUACCCGAAUAAGGAAGGUCCGGCUAACUUCGUGCCCAGCANCGCGGUAAUACGAAGGGACCUAGCGUANNCGAAUUACUGGGCUUAAAGAGUUCGUAGGUGGUUGAAAAAGUUGGUGGUGAAAUCCCAGAGCUUAACUCUGGAACUGCCAUCAAAACUUUUCAGCUAGAGUAUGAUAGAGGAAAGCAGAAUUUCUAGUGUAGAGGUGAAAUUCGUAGAUAUUAGAAAGAAUACCAAUUGCGAAGGCAGCUUUCUGGAUCAUUACUGACACUGAGGAACGAAAGCAUGGGUAGCGAAGAGGAUUAGAUACCCUCGUAGUCCAUGCCGUAAACGAUGUGUGUUAGACGUUGGAAAUUUAUUUUCAGUGUCGCAGCGAAAGCGAUAAACACACCGCCUGGGGAGUACGACCGCAAGGUUAAAACUCAAAUGAAUUGACGGGGACCCGCACAAGUAGUGGAGCAUGUGGUUUAAUUCGAAGAUACGCGCAGAACCUUACCAACACUUGACAUGUUCGUCGCGACUCUAAGAGAUUAGAGUUUUCGGUUCGGCCGGACGAAACACAGGUGCUGCAUGGCUGUCGUCAGCUCGUGUCGUGAGAUGUUGGGUUAAGUCCCGCAACGAGCGCAACCCUCACUUUUAGUUGCCAUCAUUAAGUUGGGCACUCUGAAAGAACUGCCAGUGAUAAGCUGGAGGAAGGUGGGGAUGACGUCAAGUCCUCAUGGCCCUUACGUGUUGGGCUACACACGUGCUACAAUGGUAUCUACAACAGGAAGCAAGACUGCGAGGUCAAGCAAAUCCUUAAAAGAUACCUCAGUUCGGAUUGCACUCUGCAACUCGAGUGCAUGAAGCUGGAAUUACUAGUAAUCGUGGAUCAGCGUGCCACGGUGAAUGCGUUCCCGGGUCUUGUACACACCGCCCGUCACACCAUGGGAGUUGGUUCUACCUUAAGGCAAGGUUUAAAACCCUUGACCACGGUAUAGUCAGCGACUGGGGUGAAGUCGUAACAAGGUAACCGUA
This 1020-nucleotide ribosomal RNA is filed under the name uncultured bacterium. RNAcentral describes it as "bacterial SSU rRNA". It matches the Rfam family "Bacterial small subunit ribosomal RNA", at positions 472 to 1504 of the family's 1533-position model. The record is from RNAcentral.